GGGGAUGUGGCUCAGUGGUAGAGUGUUUGCCUGAAAUGCAUGAGGCCCUGGCUUCCAUCACUAGCCCCA
This 69-nucleotide transfer RNA is filed under the name Heterocephalus glaber (naked mole-rat). It matches the Rfam family "tRNA". From Rfam's summary of the family: Transfer RNA (tRNA) molecules are approximately 80 nucleotides in length. Their secondary structure includes four short double-helical elements and three loops (D, anti-codon, and T loops). The record is from Rfam by way of RNAcentral. Lineage: Eukaryota; Metazoa; Chordata; Mammalia; Rodentia; Bathyergidae.